Molecule: ribosomal RNA, 1850 nt
Filed under: Salmonella enterica subsp. enterica serovar Berta
Lineage: Bacteria; Pseudomonadati; Pseudomonadota; Gammaproteobacteria; Enterobacterales; Enterobacteriaceae
Also listed under: 1 other name
Description: partial 23S ribosomal RNA
Rfam family: Bacterial large subunit ribosomal RNA
Source: RNAcentral
UAGAAGCAGCCAUCAUUUAAAGAAAGCGUAAUAGCUCACUGGUCGAGUCGGCCUGCGCGGAAGAUGUAACGGGGCUAAACCAUGCACCGAAGCUGCGGCAGCGACGCUUAUGCGUUGUUGGGUAGGGGAGCGUUCUGUAAGCCUGUGAAGGUGUGUCGUGAGGCAUGCUGGAGGUAUCAGAAGUGCGAAUGCUGACAUAAGUAACGAUAAAGCGGGUGAAAAGCCCGCUCGCCGGAAGACCAAGGGUUCCUGUCCAACGUUAAUCGGGGCAGGGUGAGUCGACCCCUAAGGCGAGGCCGAAAGGCGUAGUCGAUGGGAAACGGGUUAAUAUUCCCGUACUUGGUGUUACUGCGAAGGGGGGACGGAGAAGGCUAUGUUGGCCGGGCGACGGUUGUCCCGGUUUAAGCGUGUAGGUGUGUGUUCCAGGUAAAUCCGGUUCACUUUAACACUGAGGCGUGAUGACGAGGCACUACGGUGCUGAAGUAACAAAUGCCCUGCUUCCAGGAAAAGCCUCUAAGCAUCAGGUAACAUCAAAUCGUACCCCAAACCGACACAGGUGGUCAGGUAGAGAAUACCAAGGCGCUUGAGAGAACUCGGGUGAAGGAACUAGGCAAAAUGGUGCCGUAACUUCGGGAGAAGGCACGCUGACACGUAGGUGAAGUGAUUUACUCACGGAGCUGAAGUCAGUCGAAGAUACCAGCUGGCUGCAACUGUUUAUUAAAAACACAGCACUGUGCAAACACGAAAGUGGACGUAUACGGUGUGACGCCUGCCCGGUGCCGGAAGGUUAAUUGAUGGGGUCAGCGCAAGCGAAGCUCCUGAUCGAAGCCCCGGUAAACGGCGGCCGUAACUAUAACGGUCCUAAGGUAGCGAAAUUCCUUGUCGGGUAAGUUCCGACCUGCACGAAUGGCGUAAUGAUGGCCAGGCUGUCUCCACCCGAGACUCAGUGAAAUUGAACUCGCUGUGAAGAUGCAGUGUACCCGCGGCAAGACGGAAAGACCCCGUGAACCUUUACUAUAGCUUGACACUGAACAUUGAGCCUUGAUGUGUAGGAUAGGUGGGAGGCUUUGAAGUGUGGACGCCAGUCUGCAUGGAGCCGACCUUGAAAUACCACCCUUUAAUGUUUGAUGUUCUAACGUGGACCCGUUACCCGGGUUGCGGACAGUGUCUGGUGGGUAGUUUGACUGGGGCGGUCUCCUCCUAAAGAGUAACGGAGGAGCACGAAGGUUGGCUAAUCCUGGUCGGACAUCAGGAGGUUAGUGCAAUGGCAUAAGCCAGCUUGACUGCGAGCGUGACGGCGCGAGCAGGUGCGAAAGCAGGUCAUAGUGAUCCGGUGGUUCUGAAUGGAAGGGCCAUCGCUCAACGGAUAAAAGGUACUCCGGGGAUAACAGGCUGAUACCGCCCAAGAGUUCAUAUCGACGGCGGUGUUUGGCACCUCGAUGUCGGCUCAUCACAUCCUGGGGCUGAAGUAGGUCCCAAGGGUAUGGCUGUUCGCCAUUUAAAGUGGUACGCGAGCUGGGUUUAGAACGUCGUGAGACAGUUCGGUCCCUAUCUGCCGUGGGCGCUGGAGAACUGAGGGGGGCUGCUCCUAGUACGAGAGGACCGGAGUGGACGCAUCACUGGUGUUCGGGUUGUCAUGCCAAUGGCACUGCCCGGUAGCUAAAUGCGGAAGAGAUAAGUGCUGAAAGCAUCUAAGCACGAAACUUGCCCCGAGAUGAGUUCUCCCUGAGACUUUAGGUCUCCUGAAGGAACGUUGAAGACGACGACGUUGAUAGGCCGGGUGUGUAAGCGCAGCGAUGCGUUGAGCUAACCGGUACUAAUGAACCGUGAGGCUUAACCUUACAACGCCG